GAUGAACGCUGGCGGCGUGCCUAAUACAUGCAAGUCGAGCGAACAGAUAAGGAGCUUGCUCCUUUGACGUUAGCGGCGGACGGGUGAGUAACACGUGGGUAACCUACCUAUAAGACUGGGAUAACUUCGGGAAACCGGAGCUAAUACCGGAUAAUAUUUCGAACCGCAUGGUUCGAUAGUGGAAGAUGGUUUUGCUAUCACUUAUAGAUGGACCCGCGCCGUAUUAGCUAGUUGGUAAGGUAACGGCUUACCAAGGCGACGAUACGUAGCCGACCUGAGGGGGUGAUCGGCCACACUGGAACUGAGACACGGUCCAGACUCCUACGGGAGGCAGCAGUAGGGAAUCUGCCGCAAUGGGCGAAAGCCUGACGGAGCAACGCCGCGUGAGUGAUGAAGGUCUUCGGAUCGUAAAACUCUGUUAUUAGGGAAGAACAUACGUGUAAGUAACUGUGCACGUCUUGACGGUACCUAAUCAGAAAGCCACGGCUAACUACGUG
This 497-nucleotide ribosomal RNA is filed under the name uncultured bacterium. RNAcentral describes it as "partial 16S ribosomal RNA". It matches the Rfam family "Bacterial small subunit ribosomal RNA", at positions 28 to 507 of the family's 1533-position model. The record is from RNAcentral.